AGAGUUUGAUCCUGGCUCAGAUUGAACGCUGGCGGCAGGCCUAACACAUGCAAGUCGGGCGGUAACAGGGAGAAGCUUGCUUCUCCGCUGACGAGCGGCGGACGGGUGAGUAAUGUAUGGGGAUCUGCCUGAUGGCGGGGGAUAACUACUGGAAACGGUAGCUAAUACCGCAUAAUGUCUUCGGACCAAAGCGGGGGACCUCCGGGCCUCGCGCCAUCAGAUGAACCCAUAUGGGAUUAGCUUGUAGGUGGGGUAACGGCUCACCUAGGCGACGAUCCCUAGCUGGUCUGAGAGGAUGACCAGCCACACUGGAACUGAGACACGGUCCAGACUCCUACGGGAGGCAGCAGUGGGGAAUAUUGCACAAUGGGCGCAAGCCUGAUGCAGCCAUGCCGCGUGUGUGAAGAAGGCCUUCGGGUUGUAAAGCACUUUCAGCGGGGAGGAAGGCGGUGAGGUUAAUACGCUCAUCAAUUGACGUUACCGACAGAAGAAGCACCGGCUAACUCCGUGCCAGCAGCCGCGGUAAUAC
RNAcentral lists this ribosomal RNA (529 nucleotides) under uncultured bacterium. Its description in RNAcentral is "bacterial SSU rRNA". It matches the Rfam family "Bacterial small subunit ribosomal RNA", at positions 8 to 526 of the family's 1533-position model. The record is from RNAcentral.